This 1274-nucleotide long non-coding RNA is filed under the name Vulpes vulpes (red fox). RNAcentral describes it as "lncRNA (ENSVVUG00000021787.1)". The record is from RNAcentral. Lineage: Eukaryota; Metazoa; Chordata; Mammalia; Carnivora; Canidae.
AUGCUCAUCCAAGCUGCUCAGUAACCCAGACAGUACACAGUCACUGCACCCACGUGCUCCAGAAAGUUUCCAGCCAAAAGAAAAAAAAACAUCAUUACUUAGCCAUGAAAGUCAGCCUCCAAACCCAUGGAUUAAUUGGAAAUUGGACACAGGAUUUGGCUGGCAUGGCACAAAUCCUUUGGUUGCAUUAGGCUUAAAAGACGUUCUGGCUUAAGGGAGAAGAGCAACAAAGGAAAAGUCUGCUGGACAGAUUUUGGUUUAAGGUAGGUUGCUUAAGAUAGAUGACAUUCAUCGAGUAUUUACCAUGUAAGUACUUCCAUCUUUGCUGGAUGACGAAUUUUUCAUUGGUCACUUCAUUUAAUUUCACAGGAACUCUACGAGAUAACUCAAUGUGCCUAUUCAAUGGAUCCAAGUCACCCAGCUAGGAAUUGUGCAGGCAGACAUGUAAUUUAGGCCGCUGGACUCCGGAGCCACAUUCUUACCUACCAUUGGAUAGAUCUCACUACACUGUUUGGGCUUCUGCUUGUUGUCAGGGCUAAACAAUUGGGAUGCAGUCCUGGUUAUUAAUUCUGUGCUAUCCCUAACAGGCAUAAUGUUUUAAAGCUGAUGAGAGAGAAAACUUUUUUUUUUUUUUAAUCAAUGCAUUCUACUUGACGUUAAGGAUUUCACUGCUGCCAGAAGAAUCAACUAACAGGUUGAGAUGCUCUUAGUCAUUCACACGGGAUUUAUGCUUGUGCCUUGCAAGGCAUAUGGUCAUGAAGAAUUGUGACUUGCCAUUAAAUUUGAGAAAAAUGCUCUUGCUUUCAACAAAUGAAUGCAAUUGGGUUGAUAGCAUGUGUCUAACCAGACAAGACAGAGAUGCAGAAGUUAAAUCUCUGGCAGCUUUUAUGUACAGAUAUGCAGUUUAUGAGACAUUGACAAAAGCAUUUAUUCCUGCUUUCUUUCUACUUCUGAAUCUUAAGUAUACUAGCAUCAAAAAUGAAGGAAAAAAGCAUUCUCAUAGAGUUCAUCUGAUAUCAGAAACUAUGAAAGAUAUUACACCUGGUUGACUUGGAGAUCCUUCAGGGAUGGCAUCUGUUACGUCUCUCUUGAAAUACAGGCCCACGGUUGUUGAUCUGCAAAUGUUGAUGAAAACCCAAACUGUAUUUGUCUCUGUUGUCUCAUGGCUUUGCCACCAUAUGCUAAAUCAAAUUACACUUCACAGUUGGCAGCUGAAAGAAAUGAAGAAAUAGUCAAUGCAAAGAUAUCUUCCUUGGCAUCACUGGGGAUAUAAA